This 55-nucleotide non-coding RNA is filed under the name unclassified sequences. The record is from RNAcentral.
GUUGCAACUCUACCUUUGCCAGUUGCAAGUCUGGAUGAGAAAAGAGGAGCACAAC